GCUGUGCUGUCAAUAGCACGCGAGCUUUUUAGUGAAAAUUACAUCUUACUUUGGCAGGUUGAAAGUUACCUCGUCAAUUCAAUUAAACCCGAUUUUAGUGGGCUGUAAUGAGACCUACUGUUUAGCCACGACUGUCAUCGAGUAUCCCUGUAUGUGUUGCUUCAGUCACGGGCGCCUGAGGUUCCCGCCUGUGUUCCAGAGGAGAGGAAUGGAAAACAAAUGAAGUGCAUCUUCCUGAAUGGGGAGCCUUUCACUCCACCGAUAGACUUUCCAAAGAGAGUGGCGGAAAUGGUGGCUCGCUGUGACAGGCUUCAGUUGUGCCUCAGCACACAGGCAUUUACACCCCUGCUCCCCCCCCCCCACUGUCAGCCCAUCCAACGUUUACCCUACUUUACAGUGUUGGCUGGGACAGAAAGGACCGGAUAAACUUCCGUCGAUGAUGAUGGUGCAGAACUCCAGCAGAGAGCAGCAAGUUGACAGGAAAACGUGGCAGGAGAUGGCAGAGCUAACACCCAAAACCCACAAUCUGCGGAGAGACGUGCACCUUCGAGGUCCUCAUGCUCGUGAGUCAGGCCGACAAGUCGGAGGAAUAAAUAAUAAGUAGCGGACAGAUGUGGAUGACUCUGGAGGAGGUGGAGCUGAAGUUGAAGGUCGUUUAGCUUUUAUGCUGCUGCUUUUCACUCCAUGGAGUAGCUCAGUUUAAUUAUGCCCCUCUGUUUUAGCUUGAACAGUUUAAGUCUAUGGAUAUUUAAAUCUAAAUACUAAAGUGUAAUCUUUAAGUGGCUUGUGGAUUGGAAAUUGAGGUUCACCAUUUCCUAAAACAAUGCUGACUCUUUUUCAUGUAAGUAGGAGUAUUUCCUUAGUUAGAGCUAGCUUACUUGAUUCUGCUUGUGCAUUCUUGUUAUGGUUGGUGUUUAAUGUGCAUUAUGGGGGUCGGGCAUUGUGGAGGAGGCCUGUGGUGGAUUGUGGCACCAUAUGCAGGACUGAGUCCUGCUCUCCUUACAGGAACAGCAAAUUCUACAAAGGUCCUCCUUAAUAUACAGAUUUUUUUUCCUGUAAUUGAUGGAAAACCAUGUCGACAACAUUGGGCAGGAAGACCUAUCGAUAAAAAGAAUAAAAUAAUAGUGUGUCUGUGAAACAAAAACUUAAAGCAAACAAAUACGAUAUUUUGCAUAGAAAACAGGAUGACGUUAAAAGGCUGCUGAUGCUGACCGCUGCAUUUAAUUCACCUGAAUACCCUUUAUCUCUAACAUAAGUCACUAGAAUUACAGCUGUGCUUACUCUAGACAAAGCUCACUAUUUAGCUGGCUUGGAAACUGACCUGGCUAAUCAUAUCUGGGUAGCAUUUAGAGGUAUGCAAAUAGCACAUAAGUGCAACAUAUAAGCACACAAUAUGUUCCCGGCUACAGGCUGGCAGUAACAAUACGUCCUGCAGUGAUGUAAAAAUCUCAGAUCCUACCAUUUUCCCCUUUUCUCGGCACUGAUACAUGGUUGCUCCUGCAUCUAUCAUAAGUGCUGCUCCCCAUCGCAUAAGUGAACGUGAGCAGUACCUUUGAAAUAAUGAAAGUGUUUCCCCCUGCAAAACGAGUGCUGGCAGUGAUGUAUGGAGUUCAAGGGGAAACCUGAAAAGCGGAAGCAUUUCUGAUCUUCUGAAUGCUUCAACGAAUGAAGGCUCAUAAUUAUAUUUUCCAAAAGGAGCCUUUAGCCCAACAUCUUUAUUACAACACCAUUAGUCAGAAUUUCCAUGGAAGAAAAAAAUAAGCUUGCGGGUUUUUCUCCCCUGUCCCAUUUACAGAAAGUUAAUUUCUUUGAGUGGAAUGGAAAGGAAUUACAAUUUGCCCCUCUCAGAAGGACGUUGAUGCAUAUUAUAAAAGUAAGCAUAUGUCACUGUGACGAGGCUCAGAGGAAUGGAUGCUGAUGCAGUAUCUCGCAGUGUGCCUUGUGUCUGAGAAGAUGGCUCGUCACUUAAUAUGCGUUUUCCUGCAUGUUUUUCUGCACAGUAACUGUAGGGACUACUCUGUUAGUGGUUAAGGUACCUCUGUCUGCACUACCUUAAAGUAGAUUUCCUGUGGCCUCUCAGCUCUAUGAGUCCGGGUUUGGAUAAGGCCUACGUGGUACCUUAGACCCCCUCUACAUGUGUGUGUCUACAACUUGGCACAUUCCGGCCAGGGAUUGAUGUGUUGGAUGCUGAUGACUCAGAUUUACAAGAUGCCUCCUUCAUUUCAUACUGACUAGGCCUUGCAGCUUUUCAGUUUGUCAGAGUAAGAGCAGGAUUCAACUCGAGGCUCGUUUAUAGGGUUAUAUUUAGCUUAAUCUUGUCUUGAACGCGUGCUGCGUCAUUCUUGAUUACACGCUGAUGUAAUUCUGUGUCCUCCCCAUGUGCUGCAGCUGUGUGUCUCUCACUGUCGCAUUUAUUUAUCCUCUGACAGGCAUGUCGUCCGCAUCUCCUCUGCCUGCAUCCAUGAUAAAGUUAUUGUGCUUCACCCUGAUGCUGUUACAAAGUCGCUGAAAUUGUCAUGCAGUUUUGUAGCUGCAGAUUUUAGCACGCAGCUUUAUUAAGUUAAAGCUGGAUUCUUCCGUUAUUUCCAUUAUUAAAUAAUGUAACAGUUAAUGGGGAAGCAGCUAUUCCAGGCACUGAAUGGAAGCUGAAUUCAUGUCGUGUUUCCUGCCUGCUUUUGACAAAUUAGAUGUUCAUUGGACAAUUAUCAUCCUCGGUAUCAAAAAAGUGUUAAUAGAAUCUGUCACUGUCUUAUUUUGAGCGUUUAAAACCUUAUUAAUCAGCUGAUUAAUUGUUAGAUAUUACUCACUGUACUACAGUAAGUGAGUGAGUGAGACCGUGAGUGUGUGUGAAAGAGAGUGUGCCAUUGCACGUUAACAUUUUGCUCCUCUGCAUUUAUAAAGUGAAGGUCCCCCAAUGCCCCUCAGUGAAGCCCAUGGAUUCUCUCUCUGUCAGGGCUUAAUGUCUUUUCACAGUAUUCCAGUGUUUUGUUUUUAUUCGGGAUUUAGUAGCCAAAUAAACAUUAUACAUGUUUUUUUUUUUUUUUCGGAAGUAACAGUUAACUGUUAAAAAUAUUGAUAUUUUUAAAUAGACCUUAUAGUUGCCAGUUCAGAUCUUGUGUUAUUCCCAUGAGGAAAGUAUUAAGCAUUUUCCCCCAGUAAAAUAUUUAGCUGUAUUAAAUAAGCUAUAUAAUUGGAUAAACAAGGUGUAAGAAAGGGAUAUCAGUUUUUCAUUGACGUGUUGGUUGAGAAAAUGUCAUUAAAUACCAUCCAGAAGUCUACUCAAA
Long non-coding RNA from Paramormyrops kingsleyae, 3284 nucleotides. RefSeq lists it as uncharacterized. The record is from RefSeq and is a predicted model, not a curated record. NCBI's taxonomy places the organism in Eukaryota, Metazoa, Chordata, Actinopteri, Osteoglossiformes, Mormyridae.